This 152-nucleotide small nuclear RNA is filed under the name Bungarus multicinctus (many-banded krait). Its description in RNAcentral is "partial small nucleolar RNA". Lineage: Eukaryota; Metazoa; Chordata; Lepidosauria; Squamata; Elapidae. The record is from RNAcentral.
CUGACAUUGGUUGCUGAUGCUGGGAUUUCUGAGACUCCUCAAACUUUCAUACAACCUUGGUGGGGGUCUCCCAUCCUAAGAUUAACCAAUGACAAUCCUGCUUAGCUUCCACCAGCUAAGAGAGAGACCAGCCACUUAGGUUUCCAUUUGCU